This 468-nucleotide ribosomal RNA is filed under the name uncultured Comamonadaceae bacterium. RNAcentral describes it as "bacterial SSU rRNA". It matches the Rfam family "Bacterial small subunit ribosomal RNA", at positions 338 to 797 of the family's 1533-position model. Lineage: Bacteria; Pseudomonadati; Pseudomonadota; Betaproteobacteria; Burkholderiales; Comamonadaceae. The record is from RNAcentral.
CCUACGGGCGGCUGCAGUGGGGAAUUUUGGACAAUGGGCGAAAGCCUGAUCCAGCCAUGCCGCGUGCAGGAUGAAGGCCUUCGGGUUGUAAACUGCUUUUGUACGGAACGAAAAGCCUCUUUCUAAUAAAGAGGGGUCAUGACGGUACCGUAAGAAUAAGCACCGGCUAACUACGUGCCAGCAGCCGCGGUAAUACGUAGGGUGCAAGCGUUAAUCGGAAUUACUGGGCGUAAAGCGUGCGCAGGCGGUUUUGUAAGACGGAGGUGAAAUCCCCGGGCUCAACCUGGGAACUGCCUUUGUGACGGCAAGGCUGGAGUGCGGCAGAGGGGGAUGGAAUUCCGCGUGUAGCAGUGAAAUGCGUAGAUAUGCGGAGGAAUACCGAUGGCGAAGGCAGCCCCCUGGGCUACUACUGACGCUCAUGCACGAAAGCGUGGGGAGCAAACAGGAUUAGAUACCCUAGUAGUCACA